AGAGAGAGACAUGCGUGCAUAUCAAUAAGCGGAGGAAAAGAAACUAACAAGGAUUCCCUUAGUAACGGCGAGUGAAGCGGGAAGAGCUCAAAUUUGAAAUCUUCAAGGUUUUACCUUGACGAAUUGUAGUUUAAAGAAGUGCUUUCUGCUGAAGUUUUGGUAAAAGUUCUUUGGAAUAGGACAUCAUAGAGGGUGAGAAUCCCGUAUUUGACCAUUAUUUCAGCUUUGUGAUACACUUUCAAAGAGUCGGAUUGUUUGGGAAUGCAGUCCAAAAUGGGUGGUAAAUUUCAUCUAAAGCUAAAUAUUGGCGAGAGACCGAUAGCGAACAAGUACCGUGAGGGAAAGAUGAAAAGAACUUUGAAAAGAGAGUUAAACAGUACGUGAAAUUGUCAAAAGGGAAGCGUUUGACACCAGUGUUGUUUUCUCGAAAAUCAAUUAAAAAUGGCUCGAUUUUGUAUUGCUUGAGACCUUAAAAGCUCACUGUACAUUUUUCGUGUCUUUUUUAAUGCACUUUUCGUUUAACAAGUCAACAUCAGUUUCUUUUGUUGUUAAAGGGUCAUUGGAAGGUGGCUUUCUUUUCGGAGAAAGUGUUUAUAGCCUUUGGCCUCUGCAAUCGGAGAGACUGAGGUCUGCAGCGUAGACUCUUCGGGGUUAGAUACAUUUGUGCUAAGUUAUAGCUUUUUAUAGACAACUUGUUGACUAUAAUUAGUCUUGUAGCUUACUCGCUUAUGCUAUUUUACCUACGCUUAGGAUGUUGAAGAUGUAGCACAUCAU
RNAcentral lists this ribosomal RNA (774 nucleotides) under uncultured Neocallimastigales. RNAcentral's name for it is "partial large subunit ribosomal RNA". It matches the Rfam family "Eukaryotic large subunit ribosomal RNA", at positions 23 to 620 of the family's 3401-position model. Lineage: Eukaryota; Fungi; Neocallimastigomycota; Neocallimastigomycetes; Neocallimastigales. The record is from RNAcentral.